This 629-nucleotide ribosomal RNA is filed under the name Porites furcata. RNAcentral describes it as "partial 18S ribosomal RNA". The stretch from base 210 to 363 matches the Rfam family "5.8S ribosomal RNA". The record is from RNAcentral. Lineage: Eukaryota; Metazoa; Cnidaria; Anthozoa; Scleractinia; Poritidae.
CCGAUGAAUGUGUGAUCAUUAAUUGACCAGUGUGAACUGUCCAACAAAUCUUUAGGGGUCGGCACAGGUAGGAGUGGUCGUUAAAUGGUGGAUAUUCCUUCCAGCAGCCCCGCCAUUGUGUGUUACUAUGCAUAUUGAACGUAAAAGACUGAGAGAACGUAUCUUCAUGAUCACCAUGAAAGGAAAAACUGUUAAAGAAAGAGACAAACAACUUUUGACGGUGGAUCUCUUGGCUCACGUAUCGAUGAAGAACGCAGCCAGCUGCGAUAUGUAGUGUGAAUUGCAGAAUUCAGUGAAUCAUUGAAUCUUUGAACGCAAAUGGCGCUCUUGGGUUCUCCCAGGAGCAUGUCUGUCUGAGUGUCGGAUUUUAUCGAACGCACACUCACUCGUGAGUGUGCGGUAUUGAGGUGUCACGGCGUGAAGAAUCAGUGUAUUAAUGAUCGCCGUGUCCCUUGAAGAGCAGCAGCAGCAGCAGCAUUCUCUAUUGAAACUUGAGUGCGAAGGCUAAAGAUAUUGCUAUUUUCCUUCGCUCCAGGUUGGUUUAGGGUUGUUGGGUUGCUGAAAAAGAGAAACAAACAAAUGCAAUCAAUCUUGACCUCAGAUCAGGCAAGGCUACCCGCUGAAUUUAA